RNAcentral lists this ribosomal RNA (500 nucleotides) under uncultured Glomeromycotina. Its description in RNAcentral is "partial small subunit ribosomal RNA". It matches the Rfam family "Eukaryotic small subunit ribosomal RNA", at positions 591 to 1092 of the family's 1831-position model. The record is from RNAcentral. Lineage: Eukaryota; Fungi; Glomeromycota.
CCAAUAGCGUAUAUUAAAGUUGUUGCAGUUAAAAAGCUCGUAGUUGAAUUUCGGGGUUAGCAGGUCGGUCGUGCCAUCGGUAUGAACUGGUCUCGCUGAUCCCUCCCUCUUGACGAACUGUGAUGCCAUUAAUUUGGUGUCGCAGGGAAUCAGGACUGUUACUUUGAAAAAAUUAGAGUGUUUAAAGCAGGCUCACGCUUGAAUACAUUAGCAUGGAAUAAUGAAAUAGGACGUUUGAUCUUAUUUUGUUGGUUUCUAGGAUUUACGUAAUGAUUAAUAGGGAUAGUUGGGGGCAUUAGUAUUCAAUUGUCAGAGGUGAAAUUCUUGGAUUUAUUGAAGACUAACUACUGCGAAAGCAUUUGCCAAGGAUGUUUUCAUUAAUCAAGAACGAAAGUUAGGGGAUCGAAGACGAUCAGAUACCGUCGUAGUCUUAACCAUAAACUAUGCCGACUAGGGAUCGGAUGAUGUUAAUUUUUUAAUGACUCAUUCGGCGCCUUACG